UGAAGGUAGAGAUAUUUGAACGCGAGAUAAUGGAUGUAAAAGAUGGAUAUUACGGUCAAGAUCAAAGGUGAGCAACCAACCAUAUGGAGUUCCCCAACAUCUUGUUCGUUUAGCUUGAGGCAAAUAAUAAUUGAAAAGCCUUUUGGUAGAAUGACAAUAAAAAGAACGAAUUGAUCCUUUCUUAAACUGUUUGUCGUUUUUACUUCUAGCUAGCAUUAGCCAAGGAGCACAACGGAUAAUAUUACUGUUUUGUUUUUUCAGUACAGAAUUCCAUGACUUGCAAACACAACUAAAUUGGGCAAAUUCAUUAGGAUAAGGUGGCAGUCGUUUGGCAACAAGAUCAAUGAUUUCUUCUGGCAAUUCAGACCAAUUUGCCAUAAUAUUAUUAUAUUAGAGCAACCGUUUUUCUGAAUUCACAACUUUUCUGAAUUUUCAGAUUAAAUCUCCAUCUAAGAAAUCAGUAGUCCUAUAUAUUUAUAGUAAAAACAAAAACUGCAAUAGGAUUUCUUUUCCAAUUAAGGUUCGAAAAUUCAGACAGAGUACCCCUAGUACUAAUUGUUUCAGAAGUCAGCACCUUCAAGGCAAUUUCGUUUUAGCUAAAGUUAAGAAACUUACCUUUAACAACAACAGCAAAACAGAAAGAGUUACCAGACCUUGAAUUAGAAACUAGAACAGAGAACAACCGCUUCAGAUCUUUAAGCCAACAAAGAGAGAGAGAGUGCAGAUCUAGGGUUAAUCAACAACAUAAGAUACGAUGAUGAUGAUGAUAUAAGCUGUAAGCAACCUGUUGCCCAAGUACAACUGCUUUUAAGUUUUAAUGCUGUUUGGUUGGGUAAAGUUGUCAAACACUUCAACAUACAUACUAAUAAAGUGAGUUUUGUUUUUUUUUCUUAAUAUUAUUUUAAGAAACACUAAAGUUUGGUACCGAAGGAAGUAUUCAAGCAAUUGCCCUUUUAAUUAAUCAAGGUGUUGUUGACAAUAUACUCCAACAUGAUUUUUUUUUUUGGUAGAUUUUGAUACAUACAUAUACCUACAUACAAUGAUGCCUUAAAUGCUCACUAUGGGACAGAGAAGAUGUAGCUAGCUCUGUUCGCUUUUGACAAGGAAAUAUCAGAUGAAAGUGGACCUUGGCCAUGACAGGAAACAGGGAAGGGGUGCUUCUGGGUUUCGUCAGUAAUAUUUAGGCUGCUGUUGUGGUGGGCAUCUAAACGUGGCCACAGUGUCGUGAAUGCAGCUGCUAUGUGGAGCAAUGCUCAUGAAGUCAUUACAGCAUACCAAACCAUAUAACUUCCUGUCUAGACAUAAAGGUAUCAAAUCUAAUCCCUUUCAUCCCUUCCAGUAAACUGUCAGAAACUGUAAAUUGUCAACUAAAGUGAAAAAGAAAACCAUGUAUACUCAUCUUAUGUAAUAUAAAGUUUGGCCAGCAUACCAAACUGUAUAACACAGCAAUGCAGUAUUUCAACAAGUAGCUAUGUUGGAGCUUAAACAUCAACGUCUCUUAUCUUGAUACACUUGCCAGGAAGUAUGAAUAUAUAAAUGAAAAAAUAUAUUGGAUACAUCUUACCGCUUGUAAUGAGUCUGUUUGCACUUUGCACUUGUACUCUCUCUAUGCCCAAUGACAUUGGCACUUUACUACUUGCAGUCCCGUUAAGCUAGCUUAUUGUUCAAUGGAGCUUAUAGGAUCGCCUCUUGAUAUGAGAUUUGGAGACAAUGCAAAAAGAUUUAUCUACUGUUUCUAUGAAGAAGAGUGUUAAAAAUUGACAAAUUAUAAGAAGAUUAGGAGUUAUUAUGCCGAAUAGGUGCAGCUUGUGUGAAUUGGAUAAAGAAGGCUCCCCAAUGGUAUGGUAUUGGAUCAUUGGAUGCUUGACAAAGAUGAAAGAAGGGGACACAGGUUCAGUGAGCUGUUGCAGAGGUGAUCGAGGAAUAGUUAACACAGGAUUAGGUUAACUGUCGGGAAUCAAUAUGUAGCUAAAACUUACAAUGCAUUGGAGAAGGAACACUUCUGUUAUAAGAACUGAUGUAUUCUUUGUUUUUUGCAUCAAUAAAUAACAUCUCUUUUAUCCACCUAAAAACUAGAUUUGCAAAAAAUAGCUUCCUUUUUUUCUUUCUUUCUGAGUAUGCCCUCAUAUUUAGCUCCUUCAUUACCAAGCUACCAUCUGUGUUCAAGCUUACCCAUGG
This 2178-nucleotide long non-coding RNA is filed under the name Aquilegia coerulea. RNAcentral describes it as "long non-coding RNA (ACOE_LNC002228)". Lineage: Eukaryota; Viridiplantae; Streptophyta; Magnoliopsida; Ranunculales; Ranunculaceae. The record is from RNAcentral.